This is a long non-coding RNA of Symphalangus syndactylus (siamang), 575 nucleotides long. RefSeq lists it as uncharacterized. The record is from RefSeq and is a predicted model, not a curated record. Lineage: Eukaryota; Metazoa; Chordata; Mammalia; Primates; Hylobatidae.
UGAUGCAGCAAGAAGGCCCUUGCCAGAUGCCAGCACCUUGAUAUUGAACUUCUCAUCCUCCAGAACAGUUUGUUUUUCCUCUCUGUUAUACCUCAAGAGGAACACAAAGAAUGAUGGCCUGUCACUCUGAUGCCUCUCUCUACUCAAAUGGCAGAAACCAACCAGGUUCUGCCAAUAGAAAAUACUAGAGAAAUAAAGCCAGGAGAAGAAAAGAGACUACUUCCUUUAAGGUCUAAGCUGUUCCAAUAGCAUUAUUCUGCGAAUGGCAUCUCCCACUCCUUCUAGCACAAAGAACCAGCUUCCUCAUACCCCGUCAAGGAACUGCAGCAUCCAGGUGAUGGCCACAGUGGCAGAACCUAGGAAGCCAAGAAGAAACCAGAGAAUGGAGACAUAUGGCAGCAAUGGCAAGUCAUCAGACCCAGGAUUUCCCAAAGAACACUGGUCCAGGACGAUGCUCUGUGAAAAAGUGUUCCUUGGUCAGAGAAACUUGUGAAACACUUUGCAUAAUACUUAAAAUAAUGUAUGGCACAUCAAAGGUAAUAUGCGAUAAAAGAAUUCAUUUUUUUAAAACCAAG